CUGGGUAUAUUUUUAAGGUAGAAGGUAUAUGUUGAUGGUUUAGCAUUACAGUUUGAGAGUAUGAGAUAAAUUUGAGUGAUUCAAAUUUUUUGGUUUGUUUCCAGGAAGUAGAAGACUGAAAAAAAAAAAAAGAAGAAGAAGAAGGCAAAGGAAAAAAGUUAUCAUGGUCCAGAGAUGUUCAACAAUUUGUCCAAGAAGACACAGCUUAUAAACAGCACAAUAAACCGCAAAAUUUGAACACACCAACAAUUGUCAAGUUGAAUCCCUGGAUAUGCAGAUACAUAAGGAGAGGAGCUGGCAUAAGCCCAGUCAUUGAGAGGCUUUGACUCCACAAGGACAUCAUCCAUUCAAGAAUUCAAACUCAAACUUGAAACCAAGCAGAGAGUAAGAGACCAAUUGAAUACCGGGAGAUCCAACUGAAAUGUUAGUCGUGUUGGGUGCCACAAAGCCAUCUCAGCAGGCCACACCCUGAAUCCCAUCACUCCCCUCCUUAGGCUGCUCUGGGCUUCCUCUCCCAGUAGCUUGGACCAUCAACCUCAAACCGCAAAGCUUCUGGUGGUGAACUGUCUUCAUGGAUCACCACCCCUGCCCCAAAGGUAAUGUGUGCUCCUUGAGGAAGGAAACCACAUCCUUGUUCUCCACAACUAGCCACUAUGUUUGUUCAGAAAGCUUUCUUCUUUUCAAUGGAGAUGAGUCAUUUAUUUUCAAUGUGCACUUCAC
Bubalus bubalis (water buffalo) is the source of this 720-nucleotide long non-coding RNA. RefSeq lists it as uncharacterized. The record is from RefSeq and is a predicted model, not a curated record. Lineage: Eukaryota; Metazoa; Chordata; Mammalia; Artiodactyla; Bovidae. The transcript is spliced from 4 exons.